This 247-nucleotide ribosomal RNA is filed under the name uncultured bacterium. Its description in RNAcentral is "partial 16S ribosomal RNA". It matches the Rfam family "Bacterial small subunit ribosomal RNA", at positions 523 to 769 of the family's 1533-position model. The record is from RNAcentral.
AUACGUAGGUGGCAAGCGUUGUCCGGAUUUACUGGGUGUAAAGGGCGUGUAGGCGGGUUGUCAAGUCAGAUGUGAAAUCUAUGGGCUUAACCCAUAACGUGCAUUUGAAACUGACAGUCUUGAGUGAUGGAGAGGCAGGCGGAAUUCCUAGUGUAGCGGUGAAAUGCGUAGAUAUUAGGAGGAACACCAGUGGCGAAGGCGGCCUGCUGGACAUUAACUGACGCUGAGGCGCGAAAGCGUGGGGAGC